GCGAGGCAGAGNAAACCCCUAAAAGACCAUCCCAGUUCGGAUUGCAGGCUGCAACCCGCCUGUAUGAAGUUGGAAUCGCUAGUAAUCGCGGAUCAGCAUGCCGCGGUGAAUACGUUCCCGGGCCUUGUACACACCGCCCGUCACACCAUGAGAGUCGGGAACACCCGAAGUCCGUAGCCUAACCGCAAGGAGGGCGCCGCCGAAGGUGGGAUUGAUGACUGGGGUGAAGUCGUAACAAGGUACC
Molecule: ribosomal RNA, 244 nt
Filed under: uncultured bacterium
Lineage: Bacteria
Description: partial 16S ribosomal RNA
Rfam family: Bacterial small subunit ribosomal RNA
Source: RNAcentral